AUGGCCACAUGGAACCACACCACCGCACCAGAUUUCUGCACCUGGCAUGGCGUCUCAUGCGCCAGGAGGCCAAGGCAGCCACCCCUCGUGGUAGCCUUAGAGAUGGAGGCCCAAGGCCUCGCCGGUGAGAUCCCGCCCUGCAUCGCCAACCUCACUUCUCUGGUAAGGAUCCACUUGCCCAACAACCGGCUCUCCGGUCAUAUCCCGCCGGAGCUCGGCCGGCUCUCCGGACUCCGGUACCUCAACCUCAGCUUCAACGCGCUGAACGGCACCAUCCCUUUCACCCUCGGCGCGCUUCACAACCUUUCUUCGCUAGACCUGGGCGGCAAUGGGCUUUCCGGUGAGAUUCCGGCACUGCUCGGGAGUUCGCCGGCUCUAGAGUACAUCAGCCUCUCUGACAAUUUUCUUGACGGAGAAAUCCCGCUGUCACUGGCGAAUAGUUCCUCGCUUCGUUACCUGUCUCUGGACAACAACAGCAUUCAAGGGGCGAUCCAUGCGUCCCUUUUCAACAGCUCAACCAUCACCGAGAUACACCUUUGGCACAACAAUCUUUCUGGUGCAAUUCCACAUUUCAUGAUGUUCUCUUCAAAACUCACGUACCUAGAUCUCUCCCAAAACAGUCUUUCUGGAGUCGUGCCGUCGUCGGUGGCAAACCUCUCGUCCCUUACCUCACUCGACCUCUCGCACAACCAGUUGCAAGGAUCCAUUCCAGAUUUGGGUAAACUUGCCGGACUACAAAGCCUUGGUCUCUCAUAUAACAGUCUGUCAGGAAUAGUCCCACCCCCCAUUUACAAUAUGUCUUCAUUGAAUUAUCUUACGCUAGCCAGCAACAAUCUUGAAGGAACGCUGCCUUCUGAUUUGGGUAUCACACUUCCUAACCUCCAAACACUGAGCAUGGCUAAUAAUCAUUUUGUGGGUAACAUUCCUGCCUCCCUACAAAAUGCCUCCAGCAUGAUGUAUAUCCAUAUGGGCAACAACUCUCUGACUGGUGUGGUUCCUUCUUUCAGCUCCAUGAAAAAUUUGGAGUACGUAAUGUUGUACUCAAAUCAUCUAGAGGCUGGAGCCUGGACAUUCUUCUCCUCUUUGGCGAAUUGUACCCAACUGCUGAAACUUAACAUCGGUGAAAACAACUUGAAAGGGAAUUUCCCAGCAAAUUCUGUAGCAAAUCUCCCCAAAAGCUUGACCGCUUUAACCCUUCGGUCAAACAACAUCUCUGGCACCAUCCCCUUGGAGAUUGGAAACCUUUCAAGUCUUUCCAUGCUCUAUCUUGAUACUAAUCUUUUCAUUGGGCCUAUACCUUUCACCCUUGGUCAGCUACGCAAUCUGGCAAUGCUUAGCCUGUCAAGGAACAAAUUUUCAGGAGAGAUACCUCCUUCCAUUGGGGACCUACAUCAACUGGAAGAGCUUUAUUUGCAAGAAAAUCAAUUGAUUGGAAGCAUACCUGAAAGUCUAGCUAGUUGUCAGAACUUGGUUGCAUUGAACCUUUCAUGUAAUACUCUUGGUGGAAGCAUAAGCGGACACAUGUUGGGCAGCUUGAACCAACUGAGCUGGCUACUUGAUUUAUCACACAAUCAACUCUCAAUGUCCUUACCACUAGAGAUAGGUAGCUUGAUAAACCUUGGAUCCUUGAACAUCUCUCAUAACAAUAUUACAGGCAUAAUCCCGUCCACACUUGGCAACUGUGUCCAGUUGGAAUCGCUUCACUUAGAAGGGAACCUCCUGCAAGGAAGCAUUCCACAAUCACUAUCAAGCCUCAAAGCCAUCCAAGUGUUAGAUUUCUCCCACAACAAUCUAUCUGGUACAAUACCGGAGUUCCUUGAGACCUUCACCACGUUGCAGUAUCUGAAUAUGUCCUUUAAUGACUUGGAAGGACCCAUUCCCACUAGUGGAGUUUUUUCUAACACAAGUGGCGUUUUUGUCCAAGGAAAUCCAUACCUUUGUGCAAAUUUUGCGGUACAAGAGCUGCCUAGAUGCUUUUCUUCUGAAUCCACAAAAGAACACAAGUUUGUCAUCCCAGUGUUGAUAGCUCUAUCAGCUCUUGCCGCACUAGCUUUGAUCUUGGGGAUGUUCAUUUUCUGGUUGAAGACGGGGUACAAAUCUAAUGAGAACAUUGUCCAUUCAUACAUGGAGCUGAAAAGGAUAACAUAUGGUGAUGUAAUCCAAGCAACAAAUAGUCUUUCUCUAGCCAAUGUAGUCGGCUCCGGGCAAUUUGGGACCGUCUACAAAGGUUGGUUUGACGCGGAAGAUGGUACGGUUGCUGUCAAAGUCUUCAAGCUCAAUCAGCAUGGCGCAUUGCAUAGCUUCAUUGCUGAGUGCAAAGCAUUGCAACACAUCCGCCACCGGAAUCUCGUGAAGGUGAUAACCGCGUGCUCAACUUAUGACCCAGUGGGAAAUGAGUUCAAGGCACUAGUCUUUGAGUAUAUGGCCAACGGAAGCCUUGAGGACCGACUUCAUAACCACCAGCGUGGUAGUUUGAGUUUAGGCGGAGUGAUAUGCAUAUCAAUUGACAUUGCUUGUGCUCUUGAAUACCUACAUAACCAGUGUACCCCACCGGUAGUUCACUGUGAUCUGAAACCAAGCAACAUACUUUUUGACAAUGACGAUACUNNNNGUGUCUGCGACUUUGGUCUGGCGAAGCUAAUUCAUGGUUGUUCAUCUGGAGGGCAGAGUGGUACAACAAGCAUAGUUGGACCAAGAGGGUCUAUUGGGUACAUACCUCCUGAGUAUGGUAUGGGCGGUGAAAUCUCCACCCAGGGAGACAUCUACAGCUAUGGCAUUGUUCUUUUGGAAAUGCUAACACAGAAACGGCCUACUAGUGAAGAGUUCAGUGAUGGCUUGACACUCCGCAAGUAUGUGGAAGCAUCACUUUCACGAACCCAAGACAUUCAACCCAACCUUACUACGGAGGUGGGAGAUCAGUGUGUUGAUCAUAUUCCAAACUUGCAAGAAUGCAACACAUUUGCGCUGGAGCAUAUAUGUGCUCUCCGUCUCUUUAAACUUGGCUUAUUAUGCUCUGCGGAAUCACCAAAGGAUCGCCCAACGAUGCAUGAUGUCUACGGCAAAGUAACUGAAGUAAAAGAGGCAUUUUUCUCCAUGGACAACUGCAGCAAUGACCUUACAUUAUUAAGACAAAAAGGCGGACGAUGA
RNAcentral lists this ribosomal RNA (3147 nucleotides) under Triticum aestivum (bread wheat). RNAcentral's name for it is "partial small subunit ribosomal RNA". The record is from RNAcentral. Lineage: Eukaryota; Viridiplantae; Streptophyta; Magnoliopsida; Poales; Poaceae.